CCCCCCCAAAAAAAUUAACCACAGUAUGUACUAAACCUUCCACAUGCUCACGUUUGUUACCCUUGUGCUUUUGUCCGCUAGGUGGCAUCCUGUGACCUUGUCCAGCAACAACUUUUUCAUCGAGGCUGAUCUUAAAUGGGUGGCUUCCAGUCCAAUCGGCAUGGUGGUAGACGAGACCUUGGCUGUGAAGAAAAUGGAGAUCCUGGGGGUGAAAGGUCAACGAGUUUUCAAAUUGACAAUGUCCAUGUUCCUUGAGGUGAAAAACUUUGGCGCCGCCUGGGAAGAAGUCUUGGCCCUUUGCCUUGAAAGGUGCUGAACAUGAUCAUCUUCCAGUCUACUUUGCCGAACGUCUUCCUCACCGUGUCACCAUCUUGCGCCGUUUGCUGCACAACAAGGUGAGGUAACUUUGUCUUGCAGGCGCCCAGGCUGUCCUCGUUGGCUGAUGACCACUUCUCAAAGACUCGUCGCUGACAUCCUACUUGUGACUUAAAUGUUUGCCACUUGAACUCUGCAAAAAGAAAUAAAGCUUGUUACAAAUGCAA
Hippocampus zosterae (dwarf seahorse) is the source of this 542-nucleotide long non-coding RNA. RefSeq lists it as uncharacterized. The record is from RefSeq and is a predicted model, not a curated record. Lineage: Eukaryota; Metazoa; Chordata; Actinopteri; Syngnathiformes; Syngnathidae. The transcript is spliced from 3 exons.